This 237-nucleotide ribosomal RNA is filed under the name uncultured bacterium. RNAcentral's name for it is "partial 16S ribosomal RNA". It matches the Rfam family "Bacterial small subunit ribosomal RNA", at positions 15 to 244 of the family's 1533-position model. The record is from RNAcentral.
GAUCCUGGCUCAGGAUGAACGCUAGCUACAGGCUUAACACAUGCAAGUCGAGGGGCAGCAUGAACUUAGCUUGCUAAGUUUGAUGGCGACCGGCGCACGGGUGAGUAACACGUAUCCAACCUGCCGAUGACUCGGGGAUAGCCUUUCGAAAGAAAGAUUAAUACCCGAUGGCAUAGUUCUUCCGCAUGGUAGAACUAUUAAAGAAUUUCGGUCAUCGAUGGGGAUGUCUCUAGUUGG